This 598-nucleotide long non-coding RNA is filed under the name Vulpes vulpes (red fox). RNAcentral describes it as "lncRNA (ENSVVUG00000009045.1)". The record is from RNAcentral. Lineage: Eukaryota; Metazoa; Chordata; Mammalia; Carnivora; Canidae.
UGCUAUUUGAUUGAUUAGAUUAGAAAUUUAAUGUUACAGUUCAUACAUUAGUAAUAUUUCAAUAUAACACAUACCAAGGACUCUGCUAUCAAUAACACGAGUGGAUAAAGAGCAGCGCAAAUUAGCACCCGGAGCAGGAAGGAUGACCUUGGUCGGUAGGAAAUACUUCAUCCACAACAGAGGAAUCCUAGAGCAAAGUUCAUCUUAUUAGAAACUCUUGUGGAACUUGUGGCUGGAGGGCACAUGGAUUCCUAACACGCAACAAGUACAAGGAAAGGCAGAGGGACACAUCUGAAGCAUAGGAUUAUUCAAGUGUUCAAAAUAAGCAAUGGAGAAACACAUAUUAGACUAAUGCCCAGGGAUACCACACCUGGAGUAAAGGGGUUCAGGUGGAGAGACAGUACAUGUCAUGAGUCGAAGAGAUCAGCCCACUACCAUUCAUGACUCAAUCAGCCUGAAUGCUCGGGGUAAGAAAAAGUAACUGGAACGCCUACAGAUGUCACAUCCAUCAAAAUCCACACCUAUACAGCAUUCUUCAUGUUGUGUGAUGAAAAGGGUUUGAAGCUUCACCCAGAAUAAAUUGGAGAGAAUAGAAGCA